Molecule: ribosomal RNA, 253 nt
Filed under: uncultured bacterium
Lineage: Bacteria
Description: partial 16S ribosomal RNA
Rfam family: Bacterial small subunit ribosomal RNA
Source: RNAcentral
UACGUAGGGCGCAAGCGUUGUCCGGAAUUAUUGGGCGUAGAGAGCUCGUAGGCGGCCUGUCGCGUCCGCUGUGAAAUCCCGGGGCUUAACCCCGGGCGUGCAGUGGAUACGGGCUGGCUAGAGGCAGGCAGGGGAGAACGGAAUUCCCGGUGUAGCGGUGAAAUGCGCAGAUAUCGGGAGGAACACCGGUGGCGAAGGCGGUUCUCUGGACAUUUCCUGACGCUGAGGCACGAAAGCCAGGGGAGCAAACGGG